UCUUCUUCCUCUCAAACGACGAAGCAGCGCGCUUCCUGAGCUCACCGAAAACGACUUCGAAACGCCACCCUUCCCUCGUAACCUCCAUCCCGUUUCCAUCCUCAAUAUAGACCUCAACACAAUCUCACUCUUCUCUCUAAUUUGGUAACAUCACAUAAAACCCUAACCUAAAUCUGAAAUUGAACGAAAAUCUCGGAGCUUCUUGAGUAAUAACCAUGGGGGACUGGUUCAGAGAAUCCAAGCUUAUGUCAUAGUGUCAAGAACAGAAGGAAGAGAUGAAGAUGGAUAGGGCUCGGAAACGUACAUGAAGCACGAAGUGCAGAUUGUUGAAAGAAAACCGAAGGCAACCUCCUUCUCCUUGGAUGAAUCAGAGGCCUCCACUUGAUGUCAAUGUUGCUUAUGUGGAAGGACGGGAAGAGGCGGAUAGAAGAGCUUCUAAUCAGCCUAUGACACAAGUAAGCAAGUCAUCGCGGGCUUUACAGAAGGCUUAUUGUUUACUGCUUUUAAGAUUUGAUGAGACCUUAUGGUUGAGCUGCUUUAUGAAAGUAGAAAAUUUUGUUCCUUUCUUGUUCCAACACAUUUAAUGAGUAUUUUUGUUUAGAAUGUCAUGUCUAGAUGAUUAUAUUUAGAAAUUGGAGGAUAUAUACCUCAGCAAGAUGGAGCUGGUGAUGCUGGAUCUGGCGAUUUUGAAAUUGAGGAAAGCAAGUGCAGCUUGGAGUAAAAAUCAAUAAAGAUAAUGGCCAUCGAUCAGGAGUCACGUUCGGCUGGAGAGAACUAGUUUUUUUAGGGAGC
Molecule: RNA transcript, 792 nt
Organism: Vicia villosa (hairy vetch)
Lineage: Eukaryota; Viridiplantae; Streptophyta; Magnoliopsida; Fabales; Fabaceae
Exons: 5
Source: RefSeq, a predicted model, not a curated record